CCGCGGUAAUACAGAGGGUGCAAGCGUUAAUCGGAAUUACUGGGCGUAAAGCGCGCGUAGGCGGUAUGUUAAGUCGGAUGUGAAAUCCCUGGGCUCAACCUAGGCAUUGCAUCCGAUACUGGCACACUAGAGUGUGGGAGAGGAAGGUAGAAUUCCAGGUGUAGCGGUGAAAUGCGUAGAGAUCUGGAGGAAUACCGAUGGCGAAGGCAGCCUUCUGGCCUAACACUGACGCUGAGGUGCGAAAGCAUGG
Molecule: ribosomal RNA, 250 nt
Filed under: uncultured bacterium
Lineage: Bacteria
Description: partial 16S ribosomal RNA
Rfam family: Bacterial small subunit ribosomal RNA
Source: RNAcentral